CAUGCUAAGUAAUCGGGCCUCUUUGCCUAAGUAUUGAGUUUCACAUCAAAAGAUAUGAAGGAUAAAGAAACUUUAUUGUAAAGCUAGUUUUAACUCGUAGUCUGUUUGAUUCGAGUAAGUAAGUCUGAGGGAUAUUCUAUACCUGGUGCUCUAAAGUCAUCUGGUUCAAGAGUCAUUGAUUGAAAACUUGCUACAUGGGUCAAACAGAAGACUUAAGAGGUUAAGACACUCACUAGCGGUACAAUGUUAAAAAAAAAUUAUUAAUAAAUGAAGAACAGAAGUAACAAUAUACUUGUCCAUAUGAAGGUUAAUGAUUUGAAGAUAAAGAUAGGGGUAAUUUAG
Molecule: long non-coding RNA, 342 nt
Filed under: Elaeis guineensis (African oil palm)
Lineage: Eukaryota; Viridiplantae; Streptophyta; Magnoliopsida; Arecales; Arecaceae
Description: long non-coding RNA (EGUI_LNC045557)
Source: RNAcentral